This 3294-nucleotide long non-coding RNA is filed under the name Solanum tuberosum (potato). Its description in RNAcentral is "long non-coding RNA (STUB_LNC009680)". Lineage: Eukaryota; Viridiplantae; Streptophyta; Magnoliopsida; Solanales; Solanaceae. The record is from RNAcentral.
GGGGAACAAGUUGUUUAGAGUAAAUGCCCAAUUAAUAGAUAUCUGACAAUCCUAAUAGAAGCUUCCAUGUGUGAAGCCUUGGGAUGUUGCAUCAAUUGACUAAGACACUGAACAACAAAGCUGAAAUCAGGUCUAAUCACUGUUACGUAUAACAAUCUCCCUAUAAGUUUUUAAUAUUGUCACGACCCAAAGUACAUCCUAGUCGUAACAUGGCGUAUAGGACCUCGAGAGACCCAAUACAAGUCACUUAGCAUACAUAUACAAGAUAAUAGAAUCUUAAAGAGUUCAAAAGACAUUUGAAUCAUAAAGAGUUCCAUCAAAAACAGAAGUCUAACAUAAGUCUCAAAGCCACUAUUGGAAAGUGAUUGAAACGUAACCCAUACAUCACAAUAUGAAAUGAAAAGAUUUGAAAGCAAUAAAGAAUCUUGGUCCUCGGAACAUGAGGACUCACCAAUCUUCAAUGUCUAUAUGGGAUCACUGGCCACGAGUGUGCGGAAUGGAAGCGUCGGACCCUACAUUAGUGAAACAAUGUAGGCACAAGUAUGCAUUAGUACAUGGAAUGUACUAAGUAUGAUAACAAUGCAUAAAGAGUAAUGAAAUCUUGCUAAAAGGGACUUUAUAUGACAUGCAAUGAUCAAGCUAAAUCAUAAAAUAACAUGUUAGAAGACAUAAGUCGAAAUCAUGGUCAAUGCAAGCUAAACAUCUUUAAAACACAUUUGAGAUACUUCUAGAAGUAACCUUAGUUCAUUCUUGUGGGAAGUUUGCCAUUAACUGACAUAGACCAUGUGAGCUAUAACAUGGAAUCUAGUGUCUAUUCCACAUCGAAAAGAGAUGUCCUUACUUGCCAAGGUAAGAACCAUAAACUUCUAGCUUAGGUGGAUCCACUAGCUAAUCUCUAUCUAAGACAACCUAUGGUGACACAUAGUUAUGUGAUAGGGAGAUUGCUACUAGAAACCCAGCCUCAACUAUGGGAGAGCUUCCAUCUUGAUAUCCUCUCGGUGCUAAUUAAGCAUAAAUCCCACGGAAUAGUCAUUAAUCUUAACUUAUCUUAUUAUCCAUGGAAGGGCACAUGAAGUAGCCAAUCAAAGCUAGAAUUCAUUAUAGCCAAUCCUAGGUGAGAAAACCUUUCAACCUUGUGAAUCAUUUAUGUGAGCAAAUCCUUUCACAAUAACUUCAUAUGUGAGAAAUCCUUUCACAACAACAAUUCAUAAAGAAACAUGCAUAUCUUCAUAAAUUCAUCUUUCAUAUUUCAAAAGCUUCAUCAUAUAAUCAAAAUCCAGAAAAUUAUGGAUCAUGCAUGGGUUCAAUUGCAUUGAACUUAAAAACAUGUAGUUAUCUCAAUUCAUGCAUAAAAAUACAUAAAACAAUCAAUUGGAUCAUAAUUGAGAGCAACCCAUGAAAUUGAAUAAAACCCUAAUUUCAAUUGGAGAACUCUAACUUGUAAUAUUGGAGAAUUUAGGAACCUUAUGGAGGAAAGAACUCCACAGGUGAAUACUAUCAUACCUUGAUGUCAAAAACCCCCAAUCAAUGGUGAAUUUGGAGACUGGAUCCUGAAACCCUAGACUAGUUUAUCAAACAUAUCAAGCCUAUUUAAGAAUGACAAGAAGGUACAUCUAUUAAUUGCCUGUGUAGACUUUGGCCUAUUCAAGAAUGACAAGAAACAACAUGCAUUAAUUAGUUUUUGUACAUUUCGGGUUACCUAAAAUGUUAACAAUAACAUACUUUUUGCAGUCUUCCAACUGGGAUCUUUGAAGGGUAGGAUGUAAGCAGAUCUUACCUCUACCUUCGUAAGUCAGAGACUAAAAAACUCUCGAUUCAAAAGGAAAGUACCUAGGAUACAAAAGAAAUGUAACAAUAAGAGGUUACCUAAAUGUUACUGAUGGUAAUCGUCCAUAAAAUACAAUAAGUUAAAUGCAAUCAUGUAUAGUUGGCUCAUCACUUCGUUUGAGUUGGAUGUUGGUUUGCAACCAUUGCAGGAAGAAUCAGUACUAAGUAAUUAGGAAAAGGAAAUUGAACAGAUAGAGCAACAACAAAAUACAUGUUUUAUCGCAAAUACUUCUUAACUAAAUCAAUCAACAAAGAAAAUAAAAACAACAUUCAGCUGCAAAAUUCUCUUUUGUAUUCAGAUUGCAUAACGACAAUCACAAGAAGCUCAGCUCAAAAACAUAAAAAACUGAAUUGUAUCGCAACUUCAAGCAACAUGAGAAAUUGUAGCUAUAACUUAUAGAACAACCUUGAAUUCCUUAAAAUACCUAUAGAAAUAACCUAUUAUAAUCAAGAAACUCGCCUUGAAACUAUAUACUCAAGUGAAAUCCUCACUAACCACAUAACUGAAAAGUAGCAAUAAGAUGAUUUUCAGUUCACUCGAGUAGCCAACAUGUCUAUAGAUAUGAUUGCACAAGUGUAUAAACAAAUUCGUAACAAUGACCACGAUUUAAUUUUCUGACUGUUCUUCCCUCAUUUCAAACAAAUCAUACUAAUUACUCCCAAACUCCAAAAAAAAGAAAACAAUCAAACCAUGUAAAGACAAAAGCAUAAAGUACCUGUAACAAUUAGCAAAGUUCAAAAAAAAAAAUUCAAUUACAAUACUUAGAAACCAGUAGAACACGAAUUGAAAAUAUUGAUUCUUAAUUUCAGCUUCAAUUCUACAAAAAUUGAAACAAGUAGAAAUAGGAAUUACUUAACAAAUCAUAUAUAUAAAUAUAUCAAAAUAUAUUAAAAACUCGAAGAGAUUUAACUCGAAGCUCCAAUUCUCCUUCAGAAAUUCAUACUAAGAACAACUCUUCUUUCACACACACAUACACUAUCAUAGAAGGUUGUGAACGUGUUCAGAAAUUUCUCAAACUUGUGAGAAAUACCAAAACCCUACCUGAAACGAAGUUGAUGAAGCGAGAUCUUCUUGCUCCUAAGCAAACUAGUAAUGGAUGACCCACUUCUCAAUGGACUCUUCGAUCAAGACCUUCCGACGAUAACCCACACACCACCUCUUCCUUAUAUGCCGAGAAGAAACCUUGUUUUCUUUCCAUUUCCUGGAAAAAAUCAAAAUCCCAAAAUAUUUUUCAACCAAACAAAUAGACUUAAGGGUUAGCAUGAACGAAAUUUCUAGGUCAUAAAUUGCAUAAUCACAUAAGAGAGUAGAAUCUAGAAAGGGCACUUAGCUGAAGAGAUGGAGCAAAAUUCUUUAAGAAUGAAAUUUAGGUCUCUGCUUCUAUUUUUUUCUGGUAAUUACUCCUUAAUAUCGACAAUGUCUUCCAAUAAUAGCAUUACAAUCAAAAUGGUAUAUCAUAACAAACC